RNAcentral lists this ribosomal RNA (548 nucleotides) under uncultured Glomus. Its description in RNAcentral is "SSU rRNA". It matches the Rfam family "Eukaryotic small subunit ribosomal RNA", at positions 548 to 1098 of the family's 1831-position model. The record is from RNAcentral. Lineage: Eukaryota; Fungi; Glomeromycota; Glomeromycetes; Glomerales; Glomeraceae.
UUGGAGGGCAAGUCUGGUGCCAGCAGCCGCGGUAAUUCCAGCUCCAAUAGCGUAUAUUAAAGUUGUUGCAGUUAAAAAGCUCGUAGUUGAAUUUCGAGAUCAAAUUGUUGGUCGUGCCUUGGUACGUACUGGCAUUAUUGAUUUCUCCCUUCUGAAGAACCACGAUGUCAUUAAUUUGGUGUCAUGGGGAAUCAGGACUGUUACUUUGAAAAAAUUAGAGUGUUUAAAGCAGGCUAACGCCUGAAUACAUUAGCAUGGAAUAAUGAAAUAGGACGUUCGAUCCUAUUUUGUUGGUUUCUAGGAUUGACGUAAUGAUUAAUAGGGAUAGUUGGGGGCAUUAGUAUUCAAUUGUCAGAGGUGAAAUUCUUGGAUUUAUUGAAGACUAACUACUGCGAAAGCAUUUGCCAAGGAUGUUUUCAUUAAUCAAGAACGAAAGUUAGGGGAUCGAAGACGAUCAGAUACCGUCGUAGUCUUAACCAUAAACUAUGCCGACUAGGGAUCGGAUGAUGUUAAUUUUUUAAUGACUCAUUCGGCGCCUUACGGGAAAC